RNAcentral lists this ribosomal RNA (254 nucleotides) under uncultured bacterium. Its description in RNAcentral is "partial 16S ribosomal RNA". It matches the Rfam family "Bacterial small subunit ribosomal RNA", at positions 524 to 776 of the family's 1533-position model. The record is from RNAcentral.
UACGUAGGGAGCGAGCGUUGUCCGGAUUUAUUGGGCGUAAAGAGCUCGUAGGCGGUUUGGUAAGUCGGGUGUGAAAGCUCCGGGCUCAACUCGGAGAGGUCACUCGAUACUGCCAUGACUGGAGUCCGGUAGGGGGGUGUGGAAUUCCCAGUGUAGCGGUGAAAUGCGCAGAUAUUGGGAGGAACACCAAUGGCGAAGGCAGCACCCUGGGCCGGUACUGACGCUGAGGAGCGAAAGCGUGGGGAGCGAACAGG